CCCGACUGCUAUUUGGGUGAGGAUAAGCCAUGCGAGUUGAAUGGGAAACCUAAAAAUCCCAUGGCAAACUGCUCAGUAACACAUGAUCAACUUACCCUAUAGAGGAAAAUAACCUCGGGAAACUGAGGAUAAUGUUCCAUAGUUGAAUCGGCUUGGAAAAGUUUUUCAAUUAAAGGGAUAAGGAAAAUGGUUCUUAUCUGCUAUAGGAUAGGAUCGUGCUCGAUUAUGGUUGUUGGUGAGGUAAAGGCUCACCAAGCCGAUAAUCGAUAGGGGCCGUGAGAGCGGGAGCCCCGAGAUGGGUACUGAGACAACGACCCAGGCCUUACGAGGCGCAGCAGGCGCGAAACCUCCGCAAUACACGAAAGUGUGACGGGGUUACCCAAAGUGUUCAAUAGAACUGUGGUAGGUGAGUAAUGUUCCCUACUAGAAAGGAGAGGGCAAGGCUGGCGCCAGCCGCCGCGGUAAAACCAGCUCUUCAAGUGGUCGGGAUAAUAUUGGGCUUAAAGUGUCCGUAGCCGGUUUAGUAAGUUCCUGGUAAAAUCGGGUAGCUUAACUAUCUAUAUGCUAGGAAUACUACUAUACUAGAGGGCGGGAGAGGUCUGAGGUACUACAGGGGUAGGGGUGAAAUCUUAUAAUCCUUGUUGGACCACCAGUGGCGAAGGCGUCAGACUGGAACGCGCCUGACGGUGAGGGACGAAAGCCAGGGGAGCGAACCGGAUUAGAUACCCGGGUAGUCCUGGCCGUAAACGAUGCAUACUAGGUGAUGGCACGGCCAUGAGCCGUGUCAGUGCCGUAGGGAAACCGUUAAGUGUGCCGCCUGGGAAGUACGGUCGCAAGGCUAAAACUUAAAGGAAUUGGCGGGGGAGCACCACAAGGGGUGAAGCCUGCGGUUCA
RNAcentral lists this ribosomal RNA (894 nucleotides) under uncultured archaeon. RNAcentral describes it as "bacterial SSU rRNA". It matches the Rfam family "Archaeal small subunit ribosomal RNA", at positions 21 to 904 of the family's 1478-position model. The record is from RNAcentral.